GAUAAAUGAAUCUCUUACCUUCAUCUGAAACUCUUGGUCAGAAAAUCUACUACUUACAUUCAUGUCUUCUGAAAAUAAACAGGAAAAGUUAACCAAAAGCACUGCUAAAAAUGGAGAACAAAAUCAAUCAUAACAUAGAACUAAAUUUUACAAGUUUUCCUCUCCAGGUAGCAUGAGAAAAACAGCACGAGAGUGCCAGUAAAUAAACAAAUGCAAUGAGGACUUGUAGCACAAAUUAUCGUUUGCUGUAAUGUGGACUGACAGAGUCACAUUUUCUAGAUUAUAUCCUGUUAUAACCUAUCACUAGCAAGAAUGGAUCGAGGCUUUGAACUAGGUGCUUGGGAUCUCAGUUCUCUGCUGUGUGAAAUGAAAUCCCACAAGUGCUUCUUCAGUGCCAGAAAUGGGAGCUUGGAGGAUGUCUGAAAUCCAGACCCAUUUGGAGGUAAAAUUUACAUCUGCUUUAAUAAGAGUUUUGUUUAAGGUUAUGAUUUGAUUUUUUUCCC
Molecule: long non-coding RNA, 503 nt
Filed under: Coturnix japonica (Japanese quail)
Lineage: Eukaryota; Metazoa; Chordata; Aves; Galliformes; Phasianidae
Description: lncRNA (ENSCJPG00005003611.1)
Source: RNAcentral